AAAGUUGGAUCCUGGCUCAGGAUGAACGCUAGCGGCAGGCUUAACACAUGCAAGUCGAGGGGCAGCAUAAUGGAUAGCAAUAUCUAUGGUGGCGACCGGCGCACGGGUGCGUAACGCGUAUGCAACCUACCUUUAACAGGGGGAUAACACUGAGAAAUUGGUACUAAUACCCCAUAAUAUCAUAGAAGGCAUCUUUUAUGGUUGAAAAUUCCGAUGGUUAGAGAUGGGCAUGCGUUGUAUUAG
Molecule: ribosomal RNA, 243 nt
Filed under: uncultured bacterium
Lineage: Bacteria
Description: partial 16S ribosomal RNA
Rfam family: Bacterial small subunit ribosomal RNA
Source: RNAcentral